AAAACAUGUCCUUUAGGAUUAAAUUUAAGGUCUGACCUGCCCACUGAAAAAUUGAAUGGCCGCAGUAUUCUAACUGUGCAAAGGUAGCAUAAUCAUUAGUCUUUUAAUUGAAGGCUUGUAUGAAUGGUUGGACAAGAUAUAUAUUGUUUCACAUAGAUUUAUAGAAUUUUAUUUUUUAGUUAAAAAGCUAAAAUUCCAUUAAAAGACGAGAAGACCCUAUAGAUCUUUAUAAUUAUUAAAUUUUAUUUAUUAAGAAUAUAUUAUAUUUAAUUUAGAUAAUUAUUUUAUUGGGGUGAUAGUAAGAUUAAUUUAACUCUUAUUUUAGUAUAUACAUAAGUUAAUGGUUAAUUGAUCCAGUAUUAUUGAUUAUAAAAAUAAGUUACCUUAGGGAUAACAGCGUAAUUUUUUUAGAGAGUUCAUAUCGAUAAAAAAGAUUGCGACCUCGAUGUUGGAUUAAGAGAUAAAUUUGGGCGUAGCCGUUCAAAUUUAAAGUCUGUUCGACUUUUUAAUUCUUACAUGAUCUGAGUUCAAACCGGA
This 537-nucleotide ribosomal RNA is filed under the name Stenobasipteron sp. 1 GLT-2023a. RNAcentral describes it as "partial large subunit ribosomal RNA". It matches the Rfam family "Bacterial large subunit ribosomal RNA", at positions 1810 to 2620 of the family's 2925-position model. The record is from RNAcentral. Lineage: Eukaryota; Metazoa; Arthropoda; Insecta; Diptera; Nemestrinidae.